This 306-nucleotide ribosomal RNA is filed under the name uncultured bacterium. RNAcentral's name for it is "partial 16S ribosomal RNA". It matches the Rfam family "Bacterial small subunit ribosomal RNA", at positions 505 to 809 of the family's 1533-position model. The record is from RNAcentral.
GACAGCAGUAGCCACGGUAAUACGAAGGGUGCAAGCGUUACUCGGAAUUACUGGGCGUAAAGCGUGCGUAGGUGGUGGUUUAAGUCCGUUGUGAAAGCCCUGGGCUCAACCUGGGAAUUGCAGUGGAUACUGGGUCACUAGAGUGUGGUAGAGGAUAGUGGAAUUUCCGGUGUAGCAGUGAAAUGCGUAGAGAUCGGAAGGAACAUCUGUGGCGAAGGCGACUAUCUGGGCCAACACUGACACUGAGGCACGAAAGCGUGGGGAGCAAACAGGAUUAGAGACCCCUGUAGUCCCUGUCUCUUAUAA